This 158-nucleotide unclassified non-coding RNA is filed under the name uncultured Helotiaceae. Its description in RNAcentral is "sequence contains ITS1". The record is from RNAcentral. Lineage: Eukaryota; Fungi; Ascomycota; Leotiomycetes; Helotiales; Helotiaceae.
CCGAGUUCAUGCCCUCACGGGUAGAUCUCCCACCCUUGAAUAUUUAUACCUUAGUUGCUUUGGCAGGCCGUGGAAACACCAUGGGCUCCGGCUUGUGCGUGCCUGCCAGAGGAAACAAACUCUGUUUUUAGUGAUGUCUGAGUACUAUAUAAUAGUUA